ACUCCUGUAGUGUAGCCUGGAUAUCACAUUGGCUUGCGGAGCCUAUAACCCGGGUUCGAAAGCAGUGGCCUGUUGUGCUUCACUUCAGUUCUUGCCGAUUGUCCCGGCAGGGGUA
This 115-nucleotide transfer RNA is filed under the name Nanobdellota archaeon. Its description in RNAcentral is "tRNA-Arg". The record is from RNAcentral. Lineage: Archaea; Nanobdellati; Nanobdellota.